UUAAACCUGCUGCGUACGUGAUAAAGCGAUGUAUUCGAGCGACACUUAUUAAACGGAGUCUUAUAUCCAAUGCCGGAUAGCAGGCCUCCUGUGUCUUCCCUCUUAAUGAGACCUCAGGGUCGGACGGAAGCGCACAGACGUUGGAAGCUGUGAAAGCAUUAUGAGGACACCACCUUGCAUGUCAAGGUUCAAAUGGUUGCUUUACACGGCGCGGCGGGGAAAAU
Molecule: non-coding RNA, 224 nt
Filed under: Clostridia bacterium
Lineage: Bacteria; Bacillati; Bacillota; Clostridia
Description: 6S RNA
Rfam family: 6S / SsrS RNA
About the family: E. coli 6S RNA was the first non coding RNA to be sequenced, but its function was unknown until recently. It consists of 184 nucleotides that fold into an extended hairpin structure with a large single-stranded internal bulge.
Source: RNAcentral